GCAAUCGGCAGCCGCUCACUGCAGCUGGAGACCCCAGAACUUGGUGUCUGCCUCCCAUGGCACUGGGAAGGGUGGAGGCAGGUGCUGCAGCUCCACCUCAGAGGGCACUGCUGGAGGCUCCAGGGUCAGGGGUUCAGCUGAGAAAGGAAGCAGACAAUAAGGGCCUCUGGAUUCUCAAACAAACAAGCAAAAAUCCUCCUCUUGGUGCACAGCUCCUCUCAGGCUCCCCAAACUUGGCCUCACUGCUACUGAUUCCUCACAACUGGAUAGUAGCCAAUCUUCCAAGCCACUUUCAGAUAGAGAGCACUGUGGGUGGCUGACAACAGGCCCUCUUUGCUGAUGGGGACACUGAGGCUCAUGGAGAUGACAAGACUUGCCAUCUCCUGGCACAGACCUCUUUCCCUCUGCCUCAAAGCCCUUCCAUCCACCCACCUCCCUGGGGCAUUCUAAGCCACCCCUACAGUCCUCUGAUGCCAGUCCUGCUCCCAGGUCACGCCAGCCCCAUCUUACCCAUCUGGUUUUUCAGUUUGGACAAGCGCCUCUCCAGCUUCUCUACCCGAUGCGUUUCAUGCUUCUUCUCCUUCUUUAAUGUGCGAACCUGCCCAAAGCACAGGGGAAAGGGCCCUGGAGAGAGGGGCUGGAGGCUGGACAGGCUGCUGUCUCCCUCUCUGCCCCCACCUCCACACAGCCCAGACCCAGGACCACCUCCGGCUGUACUAUUCCUAUUUUACAGAUGCCCAGAAAGAUCCAGUGACUUAUCUAAGGUGGGGGGCUGAAGGGUCAGAUCUCACCUCCUGUGACAUUUUCCUCAUCCUCUGCUGCCACCGGGCCCUCUCUUCUUUUAUAUGUUGAGCAUAUUCAUCUCUCUCUAGCCGGAUUUGUUUAAGCAACUCCUUCAACUGCAAGAAAGGGCACAGAAGUUAGGAAGGGCUGUCACUGGUCCUCACCUGCUCCUGGCCACCUGGGGUCAUCUUCCUUCCACAUCCCUCCCUCUGCAAAACCUCACCCGUGUCGCUUGUGUAUUCAGCAGUGCCUGCUCCUGUAUGGACCGCUCUAACUGCCACUCGAUAACUGCUUUACUGCAGCUCGAGGUCUGCUGGUGAAGAGUGAGAAGUUUCGAUCUGGAGAGCCCGGGCCAUUCCACAGUGCCCCUUAAAAGGGUCAGGCUAGGCUCAAUAUACAACUCAGUCAGUAAAGAGCAAGGCCUUUCCAAGCCCGUGGUCUGGUUUUUAAAAGAACUCAGUCAAGUUGGAAGGGACAGGGAAAGAGAUCGAAUUUACAGCUGGCUAAGAGAGGCCCAGAGAGAUCAGAUAAUAUUGCUUUGUUAUGACUGUUAUUGCUACCACUGUUUGAACCUUUAUGGAGUGCUUCACCAGGUACCAUGCUAGCAAUCCCAUUUAAUCCUUGCAACCAGCCUAGGAGACAGUUACUAUGAUUACCUCUAUUGUGUAGGUGAAAACGGAGUAUUCAAGGUUAAGUGCUUGCCUAAGAUCACUUAGGCAGAGCUGGGAUUUGAACACCCAGGUCUAUGCCAUUCUCUAAGCCCAUUUUUCUUGCUGGGGAUGGGGGCACAGAUAGGAAGGGGAAAAUUAAUCUUUUGUUCACAUUUUGAAUGGAUGAUACAUUCGCAUAGUCCAAAACUCAGAAGGUACAGAAGGGAAGUAUCUCCCAGCCACCCUGUUGCUCUCUCCUGCGUUUUUUUAUGAACACUUGCAUACAUGUUUUAUGUAUAUUAUCAUAGUAUGCGCACACACACACACACACACACAGUUUCCUCUGUCUACAGAAAUGGUAACAUAUUAAAGGUACUCUUCUGUACCUUCACAGUACAAGUACCUAAUACCCCACCUAGGACUUGGCCAAGACCACAGCCAGGUAAGGGCAGGGCAGGCACUUGGCCUCCAAGCUCUGCGUCCAGUGCUCUCUUCCCACAGUGGCCCCCAACUCACUCAGAGCAGCUGACUCAGCCCCAGGCUGCUCUAACAACCAUACACAAAAGCAGCGGGAAGUGGCCAUGCUGCAUUCUGGGCAGGACACUCCAUCCUGCAGAAGGGACCUCUAGGCUCACUCCUCCAUCUAGGAAGCCAAGCUGCCAGGGGAUGGGGCACGUGGCUGAACUCACACUCUCCUCCUUCUUCUCCUGUGUGGCAGUGACAGCAGAGAGAGCCCUAACUCUGCUAUACGCUGCAAUGAAUGUUGCAGGUGGAUGGCCAGAUCCUUGGACUCAUCUGUAAUGAGAGAGUUGAGAUGGGGCCCGAGGGACUCUCCCUAAGACAUGUCAAAGUGCCAGGUUGAAAGAUGACAGGGUGCCCAGAUUCCUACCUUCAAAAUAUUUGAGAGAACGUUUCGUGUGAUAUUUAGUUUCCCUUCUGUGUGUUCAAUCUCUGGAUUUGAACCUUCAGGAGAAAAGCCAAGCAAGCGCUGAAAGAGAAGGAAAGAAACAUUCUCCGGAGGACAGGAGGGAACUGCACACCCUCCACUCACCUCUAGCUCCUUUUCAGCUUUGUGUUUCUCAUUGUUUGCUUUCUUUUCCUGUGGGAAGAGGAAGACAGAGCUCUUACCAGGGGGAGGCAGAGAUGGCACAGCAAGAGACAUGCCCCCAGAAUGCCACCAAUGCCCCAGGACAGGCCCAUCCAUGGGACCAGGUUAUCAGGGACCCUGUGGGGAUGGGGUGGAAUCUGAGGGGUGAGCCUUCUUCCCCAGGCUGGGAGUGGGUGAGAUGAGACUGGGGCCUCUACAUCUGAGUGCCCCCCAAACCCAGCAGUCAUGUCAUGAGCAAACAAAGAAAUCACGUUACUUCUUCCA
Long non-coding RNA from Symphalangus syndactylus (siamang), 2805 nucleotides. RefSeq lists it as uncharacterized. The record is from RefSeq and is a predicted model, not a curated record. Lineage: Eukaryota; Metazoa; Chordata; Mammalia; Primates; Hylobatidae.